CUGAGACUCGAACCAGGGUCCUCCAGAGUGGAAAGCCGAAGCGUUUCCACGCGGCCAAUCCGACCGACUAAGACAUACAUUUGACAUCACCUUACUCAUAUUUUGAGUAAUCUUAAAAUACAGUAAAUUUCAUUAUUUUAAAUUUACACUGAUAGCUAGCAUUUUGAAUUAAAAGUCUAUCAGUUAUGUCAUUUAACCGGUUUGCAUCGGUUUGCUGGAAGCGGUUGCUAAAAUUCGCCGGGUUAGCUGAAUCGCUUAUUGAGACAGAAAAAAUCGCAGUUUUAGAGAUUUUGCGAAAUGUUUUUACGAGGAAGAGCCGAAAGGUCUUUGCCGGUGGUUUUUAUUUUCAAAAUGGAAGGUUUGGAAGUUCAUAUGAGAUCUCCAUUGGAAUUGCUAUUUAAUCGAUAAGUAGCAGAUCACUCGAGAUUGCAGACGCAGAGAAAUGAGAGAGAAAACAUGACCCCCAUUCAAACAUUCUCAUAAGAUGUAAACCGUCUUAUGAGAAGCGAGUUGUUAUUCGUUUUCUGUGGGCCAAGUGUAAAACAUCAGCUGAGAUUCGCCAGGAAAUGGUGAAUGUGUUUGGGGAAGACUGUGCUAAAGAGAAC
RNAcentral lists this long non-coding RNA (605 nucleotides) under Androctonus crassicauda. Lineage: Eukaryota; Metazoa; Arthropoda; Arachnida; Scorpiones; Buthidae. The record is from RNAcentral.